UUUUUAAGACAAGAUGUGUUGACAUAACUUAUGCAUAACUAAACAUGACACGAGACAGUUGCUUAAACUAAGUCAUGAAAAAAUUGAAUUGGUAUGUAAACAAAGAUUCUUUGUAAUGUGUUGCUGCUGUGUGUGUGUUAAAAAUUUUACGGUGAUGAAGGGGUCCCUCUGUUGCCACCCUUCAUUAAUGCAAACAUUAUUUUCGUGACUAUUUUAGAUGCUCCUUGCAUGUGUUCACACUGUGACAGCGUUAAUGUGCCACUGCUAUAAAUUAACUGCGAACUUUCCGAACUUAUUUUGUAGUGGCGAGGCCGUAACCCACACCAGUGUCCACAUAAUGGAGGAGCCAGCAGAAAUGCAGGGAAACCUUGAAUGACUGCCAUAGCGCAGUGUGUAAUCUGAUUGCUUGGUUCAGGUACACCUAGCAAAUGUAUACAUUGACGAGGAGUGGCACCUGCUCUAGUGCCAUGGCUAGGACUCCCUGUUCUGCAAAGAACUGGCGAAACUGGUGUGCGGAGUUCUGGCACUCAGGAUAGGAGCAUCACAGGGGCUCUUUGGUGGUGCUUCCUGAACGGCCGCAAUUUCAUUGAGAAGCCGGCAUUGAGCCUCCAUAAAUUGGAAGCUGUGGACAGUAUCAUCGACAUUGUUUCAAAUUUGUUUGUGUAAUGUUUGUAACAAUACAUGUAUUACAGUGAAA
This 697-nucleotide long non-coding RNA is filed under the name Dermacentor andersoni. RNAcentral's name for it is "uncharacterized LOC126538929". The record is from RNAcentral. Lineage: Eukaryota; Metazoa; Arthropoda; Arachnida; Ixodida; Ixodidae.